GCGGGUGUCGUAUAAUGGUCAUUACCUGAGCUUCCCAAGCUCAUGAUGGCGGUUCGAUUCCGCUCACCCGCUCCA
This 75-nucleotide transfer RNA is filed under the name Gammaproteobacteria bacterium. Its description in RNAcentral is "tRNA-Gly". It matches the Rfam family "tRNA". From Rfam's summary of the family: Transfer RNA (tRNA) molecules are approximately 80 nucleotides in length. Their secondary structure includes four short double-helical elements and three loops (D, anti-codon, and T loops). Lineage: Bacteria; Pseudomonadati; Pseudomonadota; Gammaproteobacteria. The record is from RNAcentral.